CUCUGAGAUGCAGAGUCCCAAAUAGGACGAAACGCGCGUCCUGGAU
Non-coding RNA from Schistosoma mattheei, 46 nucleotides. Lineage: Eukaryota; Metazoa; Platyhelminthes; Trematoda; Strigeidida; Schistosomatidae. The record is from Rfam.